ACACGUAAGGUGCGAGCGUUGUUCGGAAUUAUUGGGCGUAAAGGGCUCGUAGGCGGCCUGCCAAGUCUCCCGUGAAAGACCAGGGCUCAACCCUGGGAACGCGGGAGAAACUGGCAAGCUGGAAUCUUGGAGGGGGUACUGGAAUUCCUGGUGUAGGGGUGAAAUCUGUUGAUAUCAGGAAGAACACCGGAGGCGAAGGCGAGUACCUGGCCAAAGAUUGACGCUGAUGAGCGAAAGCGUAGGGAGCGAACAGGAUUAGAUACCCCGGUAGUCC
RNAcentral lists this ribosomal RNA (274 nucleotides) under uncultured bacterium. RNAcentral's name for it is "partial 16S ribosomal RNA". It matches the Rfam family "Bacterial small subunit ribosomal RNA", at positions 523 to 796 of the family's 1533-position model. The record is from RNAcentral.